GAAGUGGUAUCGGGAGAGACUGUAGCGGCAUCGCCGUCGCAGCGCCGAAGGAGCAACCGCCCCGGAAACUCUCAGGCAAAAGGACCGAUACCACAGC
Molecule: non-coding RNA, 97 nt
Filed under: Stutzerimonas stutzeri
Lineage: Bacteria; Pseudomonadati; Pseudomonadota; Gammaproteobacteria; Pseudomonadales; Pseudomonadaceae
Description: Pseudomonas stutzeri Glycine sequence
Rfam family: Glycine riboswitch aptamer
About the family: This family represents the bacterial glycine riboswitch. Glycine riboswitches usually consist of two metabolite-binding aptamers domains with similar structures in tandem.
Source: Rfam by way of RNAcentral